Molecule: non-coding RNA, 86 nt
Organism: Sturnus vulgaris (Common starling)
Lineage: Eukaryota; Metazoa; Chordata; Aves; Passeriformes; Sturnidae
Source: RefSeq, a predicted model, not a curated record
UAUCCUGGCCUGAAGUCACACCAUCACUGAGUGCUGCUGUGACAGACAUGCUGGAACUUCAGUAUGAACUGGAGUUCAAGGCAACA